GGAUUGUGGUCAGUGGUAGAGCACUUGCCUAGCAUGUGUGAGGCCCUGAGUUCAAUUCUCAGCACCA
RNAcentral lists this transfer RNA (67 nucleotides) under Marmota monax (woodchuck). Its description in RNAcentral is "tRNA.Ala". The record is from RNAcentral. Lineage: Eukaryota; Metazoa; Chordata; Mammalia; Rodentia; Sciuridae.